The sequence is a non-coding RNA, 123 nucleotides long. It matches the Rfam family "Glycine riboswitch aptamer". From Rfam's summary of the family: This family represents the bacterial glycine riboswitch. Glycine riboswitches usually consist of two metabolite-binding aptamers domains with similar structures in tandem. The aptamers cooperatively bind glycine to regulate the expression of downstream genes.
AGACAUGACGUGGGAGAGCUGCUCGGUCGCCGCAACUGCUUCAGUUGCCCAGCUUCACUGUGCAGCGCCGUAGGUGCAAUUCCCUCCCCGGGAAACUCUCAGGCCCAGUACCACCGAUUGCAG